UUGUGUAUUGGGAUAAACCGUAAUCGUACCCCCUCCUAACUGCCAAAGUGUCAUGGCCGCCGUCGGGACCUAUUGUGCUGACAUUUACAAUGUUUACAUAUAGAAAAGUUUGUUUUUUUUCUGCUUAUAAUGCCGUUUUCUAAAGAUAUUAGUGAACAAAAUCGAUUUGCUAACAAUAUUUAAUAUAUUUUAAAUGUGCUAAAAUUGGAUUCAACAGCAAAAGUCGCAUAAAUAACAUAUAAAUAACGAAUUUGUUUACCUAUUACAAAUGGGGUUAUGUGGUUGUAACUGUUUAUUUUGGGAAUAAAAUGAAAAUGAUCAAUUAAACGACUGGAAAACUAUAGUAAAGUGAAGAACAUCGUGAAGUUCCAAUGAUGUUUCAAGAUGAGAUAAAUCGAAAUAAUGGUUGUAUGUUAGAAGGACAGAGAAUACGAAGAAAUGUUAUUGCUGCAUACUUAGUGUAGUGAAAUACAAACUUCAAACAUUAUAAUAUAUUUUUUUAUUUCAAACAUUUCAUAUGAUUAUGAAAGAACAUCUUCCUCUUUAAAACAAUGAAGAAGUGAAGAACAUAAUAAAGUUCCAACGAAAAUGAUUCCAGAUGAGGAAAAUCGAAAUAAUGGUUGUAUGUUACGUGUAUAGAGAAUACGAAGAAAUGUUAUUGCUGCAAACUUAGUGUAGUGAAUUAAAAACUUAUUGUCAAAUACAAAUCAAUUUAUUUCAUACUUUUAUAAUAUAUAGUGGUACAAUUUUAUAUGUGUUCAAAUAAAAAUAUUAAUAAAUAAAAUACAAUAAACACAAA
Diabrotica virgifera virgifera (western corn rootworm) is the source of this 799-nucleotide long non-coding RNA. RefSeq lists it as uncharacterized. The record is from RefSeq and is a predicted model, not a curated record. Lineage: Eukaryota; Metazoa; Arthropoda; Insecta; Coleoptera; Chrysomelidae. The transcript is spliced from 2 exons.